RNA transcript from Seriola dumerili (greater amberjack), 2547 nucleotides. It is a transcript of the gene named Usher syndrome type-1G protein homolog, with no coding region annotated. The transcript is spliced from 5 exons. Lineage: Eukaryota; Metazoa; Chordata; Actinopteri; Carangiformes; Carangidae. The record is from RefSeq and is a predicted model, not a curated record.
ACGGGCGCUACAGCCGCUCUGUGCCCACCACUGUGCCCACAUGACGACGACGACGACGACGAUGGUGGUGUUGGUGUUAAUGAAGCGGAAUGGAGUCGAGCAGGGUGGACUAAUUCUGCACCAUGAAUGACAGGUACCACAAGGCGGCCCGGGACGGCUACCUGGACCUGCUGAAGGAGGCAACUCGGAAGGAUCUCAACGCUCCGGAUGAGGAUGGCAUGACACCGACGUUAUGGGCUACUUAUCACGGCAACCUGGAGGCUCUGCGGCUCAUCGUGGCGAGGGGGGGAAACCCUGACAAGUGUGACAUAUGGGGGAACACGCCACUCCACCUGGCAGCUGCCAAUGGUCACCUCAGCUGCCUUUUCUUCCUGGUGUCUUUUGGUGCCAACAUAUGGUGCCUGGACAACGACUACCACACGCCGUUGGACAUGGCUGCCACAAAGAAUCACAUGGAUUGCGUCCGCUACCUAGAUUCCAUCGCAUCCAAGCAGACAGGCCUCAAUCCCAAGCUGGUCAGCAAGCUGAAGGACCGGGCAUUUCGUGAUGCCGAGCGACGGAUCAAAGAAUGCGUGAAGAUGCAGAAGAAACACCACAAACGCAUGGAGCGAAAGUUUCACAAGGAGGCUUCUGAGGCUUCUGCGUCAGAUGUUAUGAGUUUUUCCAGUUACACCAGCAGCUCUCUUAGCCACAAGCUGCGCAACUUCAAUGCAGCAACCGUCAGUGUGCCAUAUUCUCAGGCUACUCUCCAUGCCACAAACCGAGGGAAGACAAAGAUCCAGAAGAAGCUAGAGAGGAGGAAACAAGGAGAUGGGACCUUUAAAAUCUAUGAAGAUGGAAGGAAGAGUGUGCGCUCCCUCUCUGGACUUCAGCUGGGCAAUGAUGUCAUGUUUGUCAAACAGGGGACAUAUGUAAACCCAAAGGACCGUGGUCGCCGCAAUGUUCGUGACAUGUUCCCCAGAGACAAUGAUGAUGCCAUUUCACGUGCCAUGAGCGAGCCGGACCUCCACGGUCCCGAUGUGGACUAUUCUGAGAUCAGCACCGACUCUGGACAUGAUUCUCUGUUCAACCGGCCCGGUCUGGGCACCAUGGUCUUUAGGAGGAACUACGUGAGUGGGGGGAUGUUUGACCUUGGUGGUCGGGACGAGGCAAGUGUGGACCGGUCAGGCAAUAAUGUGCGUUUACGCAGUCGGCUGCAGCAAUACCCGAGUCUGGAUGCAGACAGCAUUGGCAGCGCACGCAGCCUACAGGAGAGGAAUGUGGAGGACCUGCCUUGGGAAGAAGUAGAAUUAGGGCUGGACGAUGAUGAUGAGCCUGAAACGAGCCCUCUGGAAGUUUUCCUAGCCACACAAAGCAUGAGUGAGUUUUUCUCCAUCUUCAAGAGGGAGAAGAUUGACCUAGAAGCGCUGUUGCUGUGCUCUGACCAUGACCUUAAGAGUAUCCACAUCCCCUUAGGACCGAGGAAAAAGAUCUUAGAUGCGUGUAAAAGACGGCUGGAGAGCAUAGAGGACCCGGACUGCAUCGAGGACACAGAACUGAGCUAGACAUGAGGAAUGAGGGCGGAGUCACAGAUGGAGUGAGGCAGACAGACGAGACGUUAACUUACAUCAAAGUUAAGAAAUGAUAAUAAAAGUUGUUGUAGACUGUCCUCCUGCUGUGCGCUCAUCCAGCCUUAAAGGUCAGUGGAGCAUUGUUGAGCGAAUGUCACGUACGGACAGGGAGGACUUCAUGAUUCACCUCUCCUGGUAGCUCAGUGGUAACAAAGCAGAAAGGAUACCGUCAAGAUCAAUAUGUCAAGCAAGAGGAGACGAACGUGAGAUAAAUUCUUAACAGGAUUCUUGUACAGCGUCUUGUGAGCCUUGGGAGGAUCACUGAAAAUAUCUGUGUAUGAUGGUUGGUUGGACUCCCCUGCACUGCAUGGUUUAACAAACUGAAAGACAAUCAUCAGAGUGUAGUGCUGUGCAGUGUCAUUGUAUGCCACAUGGCAGAGUUAACAAAGAGUUGAUUGUGGGGUCUGUGUCCCCUGAAUGUGUUCGCCCCUGUGGGGUAAGUCCUACCACCUCAUGUGCCUGCAUUGCUUGCGCCUAUGCAUUUGUUUAAAAGUGUCUUCUGUCAUAAAAAUCAUUGACAUUAACUUCAUCAUAACUUUCCAAGUAUCUUUUUGCAAUAACAACAUUUUGAGCAACAUUUUCACUCCACCUUUCAUCUCUGUACACGUUUACAUAUAGGAAGCCAUGUCAGUCCAAGUGUGGCUCACUGGCAAUGCAGGCCAACUGUUCACUGAUAUCACUGUACUGAUUUACUGUAGUGUUGUAAACUAUGUGAAAACACAGCAUCUUUAGAUUAUUUUAUAAUGCACAAUAUAACAUAUAGUUUAUUUUGAAUGUUCAGUCCAUGUAUAAUUAUAAACCUUUGUAUAUCACUCAUGUCAUUCUUGAUAACAUGACAGUCUUCCAACAAUUUGUAUCUUGAGUAAUUUUUUAAAUAAUAUACAUCUACAGCACAGCAUAUGUCAAUGUUUACUAUCGCAACUUUUUAACAUUUUAA